CCGUACGUGCCGCGGCCCGCCGCGCCGCGGCAUCCACCCGCGUGUCUGAAGUUCUUGUUCAGGUUGAAGGUUCGAGGCCCGCCGCACGGC
Molecule: transfer RNA, 90 nt
Filed under: Microbacterium imperiale
Lineage: Bacteria; Bacillati; Actinomycetota; Actinomycetes; Micrococcales; Microbacteriaceae
Description: tRNA-Gly
Source: RNAcentral